This 229-nucleotide ribosomal RNA is filed under the name uncultured bacterium. RNAcentral describes it as "partial 16S ribosomal RNA". It matches the Rfam family "Bacterial small subunit ribosomal RNA", at positions 568 to 796 of the family's 1533-position model. The record is from RNAcentral.
UGCGUAGGCGGAAUAUUAAGUCAGUGGUGAAAUCCUGCGGCUCAACCGUAGAACUGCCAUUGAUACUGAUAUUCUUGAAUGUAGUUGAGGUAGGCGGAAUGUGUAAUGUAGCGGUGAAAUGCUUAGAUAUUACACAGAACACCGAUUGCGAAGGCAGCUUACUAAACUAUGAUUGACGCUGAGGCACGAAAGCGUGGGGAGCGAACAGGAUUAGAUACCCUGGUAGUCC